This is a long non-coding RNA of Mustela erminea (ermine), 179 nucleotides long. RefSeq lists it as uncharacterized. NCBI's taxonomy places the organism in Eukaryota, Metazoa, Chordata, Mammalia, Carnivora, Mustelidae. The transcript is spliced from 3 exons. The record is from RefSeq and is a predicted model, not a curated record.
UGGAGAAAAAGGAAGCCUUGAGGAACCUGCGUGGCUCAGUAAAGAACACCUGCCUCAUGGUGCCACCAACUUGCUUGCCUCACUCAUGCUACCUCUGUGGUUCCUGACGUCCUUAUUUAAUACACCUCAGUACCUCAUCCUUCCCCGUUGCAGUCAAUCUAAUCAACCUGCCAGAUUUU